This 744-nucleotide ribosomal RNA is filed under the name uncultured archaeon. RNAcentral describes it as "bacterial SSU rRNA". It matches the Rfam family "Archaeal small subunit ribosomal RNA". The record is from RNAcentral.
GAGUAAAACCCAAUACGAAAAGGAUACUGGAAUGUUCCUUUUUGCAAACGCAAGGCCGAAGGAUGAGUUGGCGGCUGAUUAGGCUGUUGGCGGUGUAACGGACCACCAAACCUACGAUCAGUACGGGCCGUGAGAGCGGUAGCCCGGAGAAGGAUACUGAGACACGGAUCCUAGCCCUACGGGGUGCAGCAGGCGCGAAAACUUUACCAUGCACGGAAGUGCGAUAAGGGAACUCCCAGUGCCCAUGUAAAGCAUGAGCUUUUGCCAAGUGUAAAUAGCUUGGCGAAUAAGUGGUGGGCAAGACGGGUGCCAGCCGCCGCGGUAACACCUGCGCCACGAGUGGGGAUCGCAUUUAUUGGGCCUAAAGCGUUCGUAGCCGGAUAAGACAGUCUUGAGUGAAAUCGUUGCGCUUAACAAAACGACGUGCUUGAGAUACUUCUUAUCUUGAGACCGGGAGGCGAUAGGGGUAUUCCGGAGGGAGCGGUAAAAUACGCUGCACGCAGUGUUCAGAAUUCUGCAUGCAGCAUUUACAGUGCUAUAAUCUCCCGGAGGACCACCUGUGGGCGAAGGCGUCUAUCGAGAACGGGUCUGACGGUGAGGAACGAAAGCUAGGGGGAGCAAUCCGGAUUAGAUACACAAGAGCACCUAAAUAAAAAGUGUGUCGGUGCCAUUUCACGGGAGUGAAUAUUGGCACUUUGAACGCACUACCAAGAUGGGGGUUCCAUCUUGUGCUAAAUACCCCAA